UUGGAGGGCAAGUCUGGUGCCAGCAGCCGCGGUAAUUCCAGCUCCAAUAGCGUAUAUUAAAGUUGUUGCAGUUAAAAAGCUCGUAGUUGAAUUUCGGGGUUAGUAGGCUGGUCGUGCCAUGGGUAUGCACUGGUCUUACUGAUUCCUCCUUCCUGAUGAACCGUAAUGCCAUUAAUUUGGUGUUGCGGGGAGUCUGGACUGUUACUUUGAAAAAAUUAGAGUGUUUAAAGCAGGCUAACGCUUGAAUACAUUAGCAUGGAAUAACGAAAUAGGACGUUCGAUCUUAUUUUGUUGGUUUCUAGGAUUGACGUAAUGAUUAAUAGGGAUAGUUGGGGGCAUUAGUAUUCAAUUGUCAGAGGUGAAAUUCUUGGAUUUAUUGAAGACUAACUACUGCGAAAGCAUUUGCCAAGGAUGUUUUCAUUAAUCAAGAACGAAAGUUAGGGGAUCGAAGACGAUCAGAUACCGUCGUAGUCUUAACCAUAAACUAUGCCGACUAGGGAUCGGAUGAUGUUAAUUUUAUAAUGACUCAUUCGGCGCCUUACGGGAAAC
This 549-nucleotide ribosomal RNA is filed under the name uncultured Glomeromycotina. RNAcentral describes it as "SSU rRNA". It matches the Rfam family "Eukaryotic small subunit ribosomal RNA", at positions 548 to 1098 of the family's 1831-position model. Lineage: Eukaryota; Fungi; Glomeromycota. The record is from RNAcentral.